AUUUUGUAAAUCUCCAGAUGAAGCCUGAAGCUUAACUCCAGAAAGUCUGAAGAGACUGCAAGACUUGAGAUCGGGUGAGGUUAAACGUACUUUCAGGGUAGGGGUAAAAUCCUGUAAUCCCGGAAGGACGACCAGUGGCGAAAGCGUUUAACUAGAACGAAUCUGACGGUAAGGAACGAAGGCUAGGGUAGCAAACCGGAUUAGAUACCCGGGUAGUCCUAGCUGUAAACAUUGCCCAUUUGAUGUUGCUUUCCCGUUGAGGGAAGGCAGUGUCGGAGCGAAGGUGUUAAAUGGGCCGCUUGGGAAGUAUGGUCGCAAGACUGAAACUUAAAGGAAUUGGCGGGGGAGCACCGCAACGGGAGGAAUGUGCGGUUUAAUUGGAUUCAACGCCGGAAAACUCACCGGGAACGACCUGUGCAUGAGAGUCAACUUGACGAGCUUACUCGAUAGCAGGAGAGGUGGUGCAUGGCCGUCGUCAGCUCGUACCGUAGGGCGUUCACUUAAGUGUGAUAACGAGCGAGACCCACAUCUUUAAUUGCAAAUGUAUAUGGGAAUAUGCAUGCACUUUAGAGAAACCGCCAGCGCUAAGCUGGAGGAAGGAGUGGUCGACGGCAGGUCAGUACGCCCCGAAUUUCCCGGGCUACACGCGCAUUACAAAGAACGGGACAAUACGUUGCAACCUCGAAAGAGGGAGCCAAUCGCGAAACCCGUCCAUAGUUAGGAUUGAGGGCUGUAACUCGCCCUCAUGAAUCUGGAUUCCGUAGUAAU
Molecule: ribosomal RNA, 768 nt
Filed under: uncultured bacterium
Lineage: Bacteria
Description: bacterial SSU rRNA
Rfam family: Archaeal small subunit ribosomal RNA
Source: RNAcentral